UCACUUUCAACAACGGAUCUCUUGGUUCUCGCAUCGAUGAAGAACGUAGCGAAGUGCGAUAAGUAAUGUGAAUUGCAGAAUUCCGUGAAUCAUCGAGUCUUUGAACGCAAAUUGCACUCCCUGGUAUUCCGGAGAGUAUGCCUGUUUGAGGGUCAGUG
This 158-nucleotide ribosomal RNA is filed under the name uncultured Glomus. RNAcentral's name for it is "5.8S ribosomal RNA". It matches the Rfam family "5.8S ribosomal RNA". Rfam says of the family: 5.8S ribosomal RNA (5.8S rRNA) is a component of the large subunit of the eukaryotic ribosome. It is transcribed by RNA polymerase I as part of the 45S precursor that also contains 18S and 28S rRNA. Functionally, it is thought that 5.8S rRNA may be involved in ribosome translocation. Lineage: Eukaryota; Fungi; Glomeromycota; Glomeromycetes; Glomerales; Glomeraceae. The record is from RNAcentral.